AUUGAACGCUGGCGGCAGGCCUAACACAUGCAAGUCGAGCGGAUGAAGGGAGCUUGCUCCUGGAUUCAGCGGCGGACGGGUGAGUAAUGCCUAGGAAUCUGCCUGGUAGUGGGGGAUAACGUCCGGAAACGGGCGCUAAAUACCGCAUACGUCCUGAGGGAGAAAGUGGGGGAUCUUCGGACCUCACGCUAUCAGAUGAGCCUAGGUCGGAUUAGCUAGUUGGUGGGGUAAAGGCCUACCAAGGCGACGAUCCGUAACUGGUCUGAGAGGAUGAUCAGUCACACUGGAACUGAGACACGGUCCAGACUCCUACGGGAGGCAGCAGUGGGGAAUAUUGGACAAUGGGCGAAAGCCUGAUCCAGCCAUGCCGCGUGUGUGAAGAAGGUCUUCGGAUUGUAAAGCACUUUAAGUUGGGAGGAAGGGCAGUAAGUUAAUACCUUGCUGUUUUGACGUUACCAACAGAAUAAGCACCGGCUAACUUCGUG
RNAcentral lists this ribosomal RNA (485 nucleotides) under uncultured bacterium. RNAcentral's name for it is "partial 16S ribosomal RNA". It matches the Rfam family "Bacterial small subunit ribosomal RNA", at positions 30 to 507 of the family's 1533-position model. The record is from RNAcentral.